GUCCACGCCGUAAACGAUGGACACUAGGCGUCGGGGGGAGCGACCCUCCCGGUGCCGUCGCUAACGCAGUAAGUGUCCCGCCUGGGGAGUACGGCCGCAAGGCUGAAACUCAAAGGAAUUGACGGGGGCCCGCACAAGCGGUGGAGCAUGUGGUUUAAUUCGAAGCAACGCGAAGAACCUUACCUUGGCUUGACAUGCUGGUGAAAGCCGGUGGAAACAUCGGUCCCUCUUCGGAGCACCAGCACAGGUGCUGCAUGGCUGUCGU
This 265-nucleotide ribosomal RNA is filed under the name uncultured bacterium. RNAcentral describes it as "partial 16S ribosomal RNA". It matches the Rfam family "Bacterial small subunit ribosomal RNA", at positions 793 to 1055 of the family's 1533-position model. The record is from RNAcentral.